This 229-nucleotide unclassified non-coding RNA is filed under the name plant metagenome. Its description in RNAcentral is "partial contains small subunit ribosomal RNA and internal transcribed spacer 1". The stretch from base 1 to 48 matches the Rfam family "Eukaryotic small subunit ribosomal RNA", at positions 1785 to 1831 of the family's 1831-position model. The record is from RNAcentral.
AAUGUCGUAACAAGGUUUUCCGUAGGUGAACCUGCGGAAGGAUCAUUAAUGAGUUAGGUCGCUCGGCCCGACCUCAACCCUUUGUUGUCACAAAAUCCAAUUGUUGCUUUGGCGUGGACCGCCCGCGAGGGCUGCCGGUCUUAGGCCCGGCAUGCGCCCGCCAGAGGAAAACCAAACUCUUGUUUAUCAAACCGUACGUCUGAGUAAAAACUGAUUAAAUCAAUCAAAA